GAGAGAGGAACUCGAUCGGUUGAGUGCUGGCCUGUCGCGUCAGAAGAUGCGGGUUCAAAUCCCGUCUCUCUCG
RNAcentral lists this transfer RNA (73 nucleotides) under Cavernulicola chilensis. RNAcentral's name for it is "tRNA-Asp". It matches the Rfam family "tRNA". From Rfam's summary of the family: Transfer RNA (tRNA) molecules are approximately 80 nucleotides in length. The record is from RNAcentral. Lineage: Eukaryota; Rhodophyta; Bangiophyceae; Cavernulicolales; Cavernulicolaceae.